AUUUCUAGCCCCACGCCCACCCCCAAGCGCAGCUCCAUCUGUGGAGGAAUCCCAGGGCCAGCUGUGGAAUGCAAUCUACCUGGGACACAAGCAUCUGGGCCUGCGGGGAGAAGAGGUCCUCUCUGCCACUCCUGUCCUCCCCAGGGAGUUGCCUGCCCCCGUGUACAGCUCUUGGGGGUGUGGUGGGCACAGUGAGAGCACUCCCAACCCCCAAGACCAUCAGAGCGUCUAGUGUUCAGCCUUCCAGAGACUCUAUUCUCUUGCUGUGGGACUUUGGGCCAUGCCUGCCAUCUCUGAGCUCAUUUUCCCAUCUGCACAGUGAACAGCCUCCAGCCCACUGAAGAGCCAUAAGGCAAGGCCACAACGCCCCUCUUCCUGCUAGUCCUGACUCUGCCGCCAAAUCACUGGCUGACCCGAGGCCAGCCCCUUCUCAUCGAUGGGCCUUGGUGACCCUGCCUAGAAAAUGACACUUAGACUUUAAGAGGGAGGGACCCACAUUCUCUUCACCCUGGGCCACAAGACGUAGCACUUGGGAGACAGCAACGAAUGGAUGUGCAGCAGGCUGGCCACCGUGCCCCUCGGAGGCUGAAUCUGAAAAGCCCUGUGUCUCCUGCACCUCGAGGCAGGACGUACCUGCUUCCUCCCAUGGGCUUGGAGCCCGCCUAAAUAGUCAGCUCGGGUGUUAAUAUCCAGAGCGGUCCUUUUUGAAUGGCUGUCAGGUGUUUUCAGAGGCUCACCAUGGAUGCCAGCACCCACUCCUUCUGGUGCAGAGGUCCCCUUGCAGCUCCACAGGACAGCCCUGCCCUGCCCGAGGUUCAGGAUGGAGCUGGGAUGCUGGCAGGGAGGGGAGAAGCUGACAGAUGGAAGCCACCCUGGGUUUCCUGUUCUGUUCCUGCCUCUGGCCUGGCUACCGCCAGCCUGCAGCCUUGCCCCCUAGGGCAGGUGAGAGUUCGACUCGGGCAUGGUUUGACCAUUGGCACCUGUAAGAACAGUGAAGAGAGCCCCAGAAUCUUAGACCUCAGGGGGCUGCAGGCGUCUCUGGUCUAACCCCUCCC
Molecule: long non-coding RNA, 1055 nt
Filed under: Equus caballus (horse)
Lineage: Eukaryota; Metazoa; Chordata; Mammalia; Perissodactyla; Equidae
Description: lncRNA (ENSECAG00000043959.1)
Source: RNAcentral